RNAcentral lists this long non-coding RNA (169 nucleotides) under Capra hircus (goat). Its description in RNAcentral is "lncRNA (ENSCHIG00010031718.1)". Lineage: Eukaryota; Metazoa; Chordata; Mammalia; Artiodactyla; Bovidae. The record is from RNAcentral.
AGGGGGUAGCAGGGGAGUGGUUCUCUGCCUGCGCCUGAUGGAACCUAGGCUCGCUAUUGAAAUAUUUGAAGAAACUCUCUGCCCUGCCCAUUACCGUAGACAUUCUUGCGGAGACUGGAGUUGGGAAAACGGUGAACAGCUUGCGAAAACACGAGCACGUCGGAAACUU